GUGGCGCAGCCGCCUCUCUAGCAGCUCCGGCCCCAGCCCGCGGCUCGCGGACCUGCAGCCCAGCCCGGCCGCGCUGCGUGCCCCGGCGCGCACCCCUCCCACUCCCAUCCACUCGGAGCCACGUCCCCUGCCCGGCUCCGGCCGGCUCCCACCGUCCCCGGCCACCGUCUUCGCCCCUGCCCGGCCCCCGCCCCUUCCAGCCACUACCCCGCCCCCACCCCCUUCUCCACCCUCACGGACUAGGCAGAGGCCGCCCGCGGUCAGGCCAGGCCGGGUCCAAUUAGGGGACUCACAGCCUGCCCCGCUGUGCACCCCGAGGAGGCCCGGCCCCUGUGUCCAAUCCGGAAGUCGCAGGGAAGUGGGGAGGUCAGGAUGGUGGCGCCCGCGGCUCGGGUCUUCCUCCGGGCAGUGCGCGCGGCUCUCACUUCCACGGUCCCGGACCUGCUCUGCCUCCUGGCCCGAGGCUCCCCGCGUGGCCUCGCGUCUGGUCGCCUACCCCUCGCGGUCCACUCCGCCCAGCAUGGACCUGGAUCCGGGGCGCCUUGGUUGCGAAUUGCCAGGAGGGCCCUGAGGACCUGAAGCCUCCCAGUCACGUCGAGAACGGGCAGGAGCUCAGGUUGGCGCCGCCGGUGCAGUGGGCAUUACAGGUGCAAGGGAACCAGUUGCAAACUGCAGUGCUGUGCUUGAGGAUGGCUCCUCCUGAGCCGGCAGGCUCCCGGUAGGCGCGGUCCAGCCAAAGAAUUUAGAACGAGUCUACGUGGACACGCAAGUUUCAGCGAGCGGGGAUUUCCUGCGAGGCCGAGCGCGAGGAACAGCCGGCCCCGGAGGCUCGGGCUCGGGGUCUCCCCGGGGACGCGGCCGACUGAGAAGGCCGGGGCGCUCGCCGGGCGCGGCGCCGUCCUCCGUGUCGCGGGGACGGAAGGAGGCGACGCAGGCCAGGAGUCGUGCGCGCGGGCGGCGAGGGGGCGCUGUGGCCCGUGUCUGCCGGCCCGAGUCCCGGCAACGGUGGGCGCGACCCACCUCCUCCCCCGGCGGCUUAAUUCGGGGAAGAAGAAAAAACGGCAUCGAGGCAUUUCAAUAAAACCUAAGCGACUCCUGAUCCUUUCUCAUUGUGGUUCCUUAUGAGCUUUCGGUGUCUGGCGGGGAAACAGUUACCGUUCGGGGGUGUGGCAAACUUUUUUGGCAAUUAAGAUGAAACAGACGCUUUUAUGUGGGUUUCCUUUAAUGAAGUAACAUUGGAAAUGUAAGUAGUUUCAGUGCAUCAAAUCACAUCGCUACCGUAUUCGCGGUCACCGGCCCUCCCGUUCCAGGGCUCCCCGCGUUUGUCGAGGGAGAGAGCGAGGCAGGAACAGGGGGCCGGGGACAUGAGAAGUUUGGCUAAGAAAUUUUUCUUUUCUUUGAAAACAAAAGCGUUGUUAUAAAUGGAACAAAAUUUAAGUCAACAUGGAACCCACAUCUCUUUCAAACGUCGUUUCUAGGUCUAGUACUCUGUGAGUAGGUUGGACUGGAUUUCACGCUCAACCGGCAUUUCUAGGCUCUCAAAGACGCUUCCGAGGCCUAAAUGUUUUCCUGGAAAACACGUGCAGAGGAGCAUCCGUGGAAGACUGAAAGGUCCCCGCAGCUCCAGUCCUGGCAGGAUGUGCAAGGCCUCUCGAGGUUUUCAAAUGGGCCCCCGAGGCCUGGGAGAUCCCCGAGUAGCCACGCGGGCGCCACUUCAGGGACGCGGGGCGGCGGCUACUGUGGGCCGGGAGGGCCCCCGCACGGGCUGCUCUGAGCGCCUGGACCCGGGACCCUGCGCGCGCUCUUUUCUUUUUCUUUCGUUUCUUUCUUUCUUAUUUAUAAUUUACAUUCUAGGGACCUCGUAUUCAGCUAACCAGCUCUUGCUUACUUAACUGCCCUGUUUUCAGCUCCGGAUUUCUGGGAGGUCUCCCCAUGGCUAACUUGUCCCUCCCGGCAUCCUUUAGCGCUCUGCAAAAUUUGCCUUCCUCCCACAGAUGCCCCGCCUCCGACGUGCUUCCUGAAGUUUCUCUCCCGCUCAGGGUGCCCACAAUCCUGAAUUCUCCAGCAUCUCGCCGACUCCGUCUCUACCCUCCUCUCCUUCCUAAUCUCGCGCUGGCUUCGCCCUUUUCUCUCUCCUCCUCCUUCCUACGCGCCCCGCCCCCUCCCCCCAGGUCGCACCUCUCCCCGCCCGGGUCGGGAGCCCCUCGUGGCCAGGCGUCCGCGCGGCUCAAGACCGAGGUCCGCCACGCUGGGCCGCUCGUGGGCGGCUCUCACCCGGCAUACCGUGGAAACGGCGCGUCCCGCCAGCUGCGGCUCCAGCCUGGGAGGGAGCGCAGCGCGGGGAGCCUGCAGCGUCUGGAGAGUGAGGAAAAGGGACAUUCCUUGGAAAUGGACAGAGCCGAGUUCCUUAAAGGGAUCGCAGUUGAAAGAGACCCUCUUCAAAAUCAGCAACGACCUGGCAGCCUUAGUUCCUCAACAGGAGAUGGUUCGAAGAUGAAAUGUUUGAAACUCCGCCGCCGUUUCACCUUUGCACACACGCGCACGGCAGGCCCAGAUCCGCACAGAGACGCAGACACGCGCGCGCUCGCGCUUCCCGGAGAGGUCGGCGCGUCUCGCUGAAGCUGUUCUGGUCAAGUGGAGUUGUCAGGGCUUUGUUUUGUUUUUGUUUUGUCUUUUAAAUGUGUUUUACAAGACAGUCUUCAGCAGAACUUAGCUCCCUCAACCCUCCGUCCCUCCAGCAGCUCCUCCGUGGCUCUGCAAUCUUCUGUUUAAACACCAGAGCGCACCUCGGUGCUGGCCUCGGCGGGGGUGCGGGGUGCGGGUCGCGGGGUGUGCGGUCACCCAGGAGGCUGCGAAGAGUGCAGGGGUCAGCUCCAUCCCGACGAAAGCAGAUAGGACUCCUCGCUCGCAAGAAACACUGGAGAAAAGAAAAUAAUUCCUCGAGUGUUUUUACAAUUAUUUUAAUCCAACCAGCGAGGCUCUAAAGAGCGUUUGUCUUGAGGCCGUGUUGAAUACCCUUUGCCAACUGUAAAUUCGGCGUGUGUGCCCGAAACUGCUAGCCCUGACCAGGGGCUCGGCAGCACAUGGCCAGGCACACACCGAACUCCUCCUUCCCAAAUCCUUCUGCAGGAUCCUACACCCCUGGAGUAUAUAGGCAGCGGGAGGGGAGGGUUGGGUUUUGCUUUCUUUGCUUUUUAUUUUUAUUUUUUAAUAUGGCUGGGAAUGCAGAAAUUUUAAAAAUGGAUACAUUUGAGUGUGUUAAAAGUAAAAACUUCUCUUGGACAAAACAUAAACUGCUAACCGCAACGGGGGAGAAGAUAUUUGCCGCACAUGUAAAUAACAGAGACUGUUCUACAGCACCAGGAGGAAUUCUGACUGCCAAUGGGUGAAGACGAGGCACCCAGGGAAAUAAAGGGGCAGGGAUGGGGCAGCCCUCCACGCAGAGGAGACGCCUGAGAAUGCGCACAUUCACUGGUUGUCUAUCUCUAGACAACAGCAGAUGCCUCUUCACACCAAUCGAUGGCACCCAGAAAGGCCUAGGAUGUGCCCUGUUCAAACUCUCCCUGCGGUGCAGCUUAAAUUUCUAUAGAGAAAUUCGGGAGACAUUUGGCCGCAUCUGAAAGCGCAGAAGGUGCGUGCUCCCUGGCACCCAGCACACAGGUGUUGGGGAAGCGGGGACGAGGCAGCCCUGGAGCAUGGUUUGCAGGAGUGCAAGACUGCAAGCCUCCUCCACGGCCACCACUCCAGGCCUGGAUAAAGAAUUCGUGGCAUAUUUCAGGGAACAGAAUGUCCCCUGGGGCGAAAGGGGAUGAAGUCAUUCUACUUGUACCAACUUGAGUGCCUCCUAAAAGUGUAACCUUGGGGGCGGGGAUACAGAAGGAUGAUGCUGACAAUGGAAUUUAAAAACAAACAGCAACAUUUUGUGGUGUCUACAGGCGUGGGGGUGGAGGAGCUGCAGCGUCACCAUGGGAACAAAAGUCUCCCACGCAUCUCAGGCCCGAGGAAUCUUUAAAGAGGGAGAGUGGGCAUGGGAGGAGGACUUAAGCUAUUAGUCAUAUUUUAUUUCGAAAACUAGAUCUUAAGUAACUGUAGCAAAAUGUUAACAAUUCUUACCUUGGAAUACCGGUUACAUGGGAUUAUGUUACUCUAUUUUUUCAUCAUGUGAAAUAUUUUAUAUUUUGACAAUUAAAACUAAAUAGUAGCUUUUUAUAAAAGUGGCAUAUGCACUGAAGUAUAAUGUGCUAAUUUGGGAUUCGUUUAAAUAAAACAGCUUUCUUAGAAUA
Homo sapiens (human) is the source of this 4283-nucleotide long non-coding RNA. RefSeq annotates it as IRX2 divergent transcript. The transcript is spliced from 4 exons. The record is from RefSeq and is marked validated. NCBI's taxonomy places the organism in Eukaryota, Metazoa, Chordata, Mammalia, Primates, Hominidae.